UGUGCUGACCAUGGGCCCUGAGCGUCCU
RNAcentral lists this non-coding RNA (28 nucleotides) under Homo sapiens (human). Lineage: Eukaryota; Metazoa; Chordata; Mammalia; Primates; Hominidae. The record is from RNAcentral.